ACGAUAUGCUUUGGGGAGCUGUAAGUAAGCUUUGAUCCAGAGAUUUCCGAAUGGGGAAACCCAGCAUGAGUUAUGUCAUGUUAUCGAUAUGUGAAUACAUAGCAUAUCAGAAGGCACACCCGGAGAACUGAAACAUCUUAGUACCCGGAGGAAGAGAAAGAAAAUUCGAUUCCCUUAGUAGCGGCGAGCGAAACGGGAAGAGCCCAAACCAACAAGCUUGCUUGUUGGGGUUGUAGGACACUCUAUACGGAGUUACAAAGGACGACAUUAGACGAAUCAUCUGGAAAGAUGAAUCAAAGAAGGUAAUAAUCCUGUAGUCGAAAAUGUUGUCUCUCUUGAGUGGAUCCUGAGUACGACGGAGCACGUGAAAUUCCGUCGGAAUCUGGGAGGACCAUCUCCUAAGGCUAAAUACUCUCUAGUGACCGAUAGUGAACCAGUACCGUGAGG
Molecule: ribosomal RNA, 447 nt
Filed under: Staphylococcus aureus
Lineage: Bacteria; Bacillati; Bacillota; Bacilli; Caryophanales; Staphylococcaceae
Description: partial 23S ribosomal RNA
Rfam family: Bacterial large subunit ribosomal RNA
Source: RNAcentral